This 41650-nucleotide long non-coding RNA is filed under the name Malus domestica (apple). Its description in RNAcentral is "long non-coding RNA (MDOM_LNC002286)". Lineage: Eukaryota; Viridiplantae; Streptophyta; Magnoliopsida; Rosales; Rosaceae. The record is from RNAcentral.
AAAUCUUUAACAUCCCCAGAAAAAGGAUUCGAUGAAUUUUGAGGUGACGUUUUGGUUUUGGAACAUUGGGACUUUGGGGGUGUUUGGUUGCGGGGAGAUAAUAGUUGGUGAGAAUGAGAUGGGAAUUUUGUCUAAGGCUGUGUGCCCAUCUCAUUCUGUUGUACGUAAGUUUGAAUUUUUGUCCACGUUAAUUAGGGCAUUUUACAAUGUGUUUGUCAAAAAAAACAAAAGGUGGAAAGUAUUUAUUUUUGGUGUGAAGGUGUUCUAUCACUACAACUAAGCUAGGAUCCAAAUUACUUCGUGAAAUUUGUUGUUGUAGAAUGGAAUAUCAAGUUGAUUCAACGGUUCUUGCGAAAUCGCGUUAUUGUAUUCCGACAAACAUGGAGGAGAAUUGGAGCCAUGUUGAAUUUCAGGAUUUAUGCAUGACCCUUUGGCAAUGGGUUGGCAAUACCCCAUUACUUGGAAAGUCGCUUUAUGUUGAUACUGGAUGAUUUUCAAGUGAAAAGUGCGUUGCAUAUGAUCAACUAAAGCAAAACUAUCCAUGCAUGCCACCAAAAGGAUCGAAAUAAAAUUGUGGGUUUAGACCUUGGCUCUUGAGAUGGAUCAAAAUUGUGAUGUAGAGGACUAUGUCUGAUUCAAAAGUGAUUAGUGAAAAUAAGCUUUUUUAUAAGUUCAGUUUGAAGAGAGUGAAACUAACAAAGUUGCAAGUCAGUGAAAACCUUAGGAUGGCUGAACACUAUUUAAUUUUGAAAGACAAUUGAUCUUCAUGAUUGAAUGUAUCUAAAUGUAGCUCUGGUAUUCGGAGUCAAGCAGUUUCCAAUGCAAAGAUUCUAAACAAAAUUAUAAUCCAUGAGAAAUUUCGAUUUGUUAUCUUGGUGGAGUACUCAACCCUUUGAACCACGGUUCAAGACGAGUGUUAUGUAGAAGUAUUUGAACUGAUUUGUUUAGAUUUAAAUUCUUUAGUUUUAGACUUUACAUUGUUAUUUUUAAACUCGACUUAUAAGAGAUUUUGCACAGAAAAAUACAUUUUCUAUAAUAGAAAGACAAUCAUUUGGAUUAAAAUACAUCAUGAUGUUAUGGUUAAUGAAUGCCUUGUGGAGAGAUUUCUCUCUGUCUUCCCCUUAAUUUUGCUCUUAUGUGUUCCAUUCCAAUAUUUCAGAAAAUUGACGGUUUCAAUUUUGACAUUUGGAUUAUUAAAAUACAUUACGAUGUUAUGUGAUAUGAUUUUUACCACAUACAUGAAUAGGGAUAAAGACACCUAAAAAUAUUUUUAAGAGUAUAAGAUAAUCGUAGUAUAGUCGACUCUAGCAAUGUCAUUCUCCAUAGUAAUUCAAUGAAUAAUUUAUGUUAAAAUCAAAAUUUAAUUAAUUAUUUAAAAACAAAGUUUGAAAAAUGUUGAUUUUAUGACCUAAAAUAUUAAAAACGAAUUUAACUAAAAACAAAAGAAAAUAGUUUUGAAAAUCAAUUUAAGCUCUAGAGUUGUCACCUUAAGAAUCCUAUAUAGUUCUUCCAAUUAGUUAUGAAUUAUCCAUGCAUAUUUUGAAGGUUAGGUUUUCCUAAUAUAUGUCCUACUUAGAACCUCCAACAUAUAAUGUGUAUCUAACAUGCAACCCGUUUGUGGUGUCCAGAUCGAAUAUGAACAUGCAAGACUCAUUCAGUUUUGUGAAAACCUUUUGAAAAACCAUGCAAUCCUUAAGACGUGGCGUCUAUCCUAAGUGAAGUUACACAUAUUAACCACAAGAAACCUUAGCCAAUUUCAGGGAUAGCCCUUCCCCAAAACUGCAUCAAAUUACUUUUCUAAAUAUUCUAAUGGUGGCCAAUCAUCAAAACAAUUAGAUAAUUUCAAACACGGUGAUUAACAAUUCAAAACAUGCAUGCAUAAUAUCAUAAAUAAAUUGAAAAUAAACUACAUAUUCUUGCUAAGGCUCGUAGCCUCACCCUAGCAAACGGAAAUUAGUUAUGAACAAUCAUAAAAUAAAAUAUUAUUAAGAACAUGAAUAGAAAACACCUUGAAAAUAAACUUCAAUCAUCAAAAGCUGUCUAAGCCGAAUUCUCCAAAGUAGUGCGUUCUUCCGAACCCUAAUGGCUAAAUAGCCUUAUUUAUACUACUACAAAACAGAACCAUAAGGAAACAAAAUAAAUUAAGAUAAACUAGAAAACAAUAUCCUAGUCAAACAUGGAGAAAUAUGCCAUCUAACAAAUCUGCCACGUUUUAGACUUAAAUAUACUCCAAAUCCAGCCCAUGAGAGCUUCUUUUAAAGGAAAACUAAUGAAAAUGACUUGAAAACUUUGAGUUUUAACGAUAAAGACAAAAUAAAGGGUAAAGUGAAUAGUACCAGUAUUGACUUUUUAGUGUUAAAAUGUGGUUUUUCGUUAAAGUGAAUAGUACCGGGAGCUUUUAGUUAAAGUUCCCUUGUUUUAAAGAUUAGAACAAUCUAAAUACAUCUCCAGAAGGGGCCGAAUCCAAAAUAGGCCAUAUUGAGCCCCAAAACUUGCAAUCAAGCCCAAAACAUCACGUUUCAACACUACGCGCUGCUUAUUUAUUUUAUCGUCAGAAAAUAACCACUUGGUGGAAAAAUGUGAAACUUUGAUACGACUAAGCUAAGCAACUCAGAAAAGUCUUCCAAUUGGAAUUACUCCACCAUUUGAUCAAUUUUGCCUCAAUGGAGAAUGAAAGUCCUAUUGACUCAUCAUUAUAGACAAUGAAUGCCCCAUGGAGAUAUUAGUCUCUAUCCUAGUGGUGUACACAAGUAAUUUCACUAAAAGAAACAGAAGUAACAAAUUAAUUAACUAGAUUAGAUGAAACCCAGCAUUAGUGAGGUUGCAGACAACUGAACUCCAAACAUAACAAAAAACAGUUGACAUUGAAACCUACGACAAACAUAAGACCCCCCAUUCUAAGGAACAAAUCUAGCUAGUCAGGAUAUGUAUAUACAUCCUCAUAACAUGAGAGUUCUUCGCGUCACACAAGGUCAGCCAUGAAGGUAGCCGAAAUAGGCGACCCCCCUAGUUCCCCAUUUCUGAAGGGUCCUCAAUUUAAAAAAAAAAUAUAAAUUUUUACAAUUCAAAUUUAAUAAAACUCAAAAAAUAGAAUCAUACGCAAUUGAAAAAGUAGAUUAUGUAAACUUAUUUAGUACAUUUUUGCUUCUAAAAACAAGAGACGUGUAAUAUUUAAGUAAUAUUUGUUUAUCUUUUUUGUUCUAAUAUUAGUUUUUAAUGAUAUUUGAUGUAAAAAUAGACUUUUAGGGUGAUUUUGUGUAAAAUCAAUAAAAAGUUACAAUAUAUCAACAAUAUUUAUGUUAAUUAUAAAUAUGUCAAUCAUGUAUUGUAAUACUUAAAUGCAUUUAAGAUAAACAAAAAUUACAAAAUUGCCAUUACAACUGGCACUCACUUCAACUGACACUCAUUUCUCAUAGUUUUAUAUUUUGGAAUAGUCAAGAUGGAUCAAACACUGCAAUGCAGUGUCUAUUUCCUGAUUAUGUUUUUUACAUUUGGAUUCAUACACUACGUUGCAGUGUUCAUUUACUGAUUUCAUUUACUUCAUCACACACACGCCUCAUACAUGUUCCUUUUUAUGUUUACAUUUAAACACUGCAUUUGCAUUGUCUGUUUUCUAGUUUUGUUUUUUACUUUUAGAUUCAGACGCUGCGUUGUAGUGCCCAUUUAUUGGUUCUAUUUUUUCCAUCACUCACACGUCUCCUACACUUUCCACAUUGUGCGACUCAUGAUUUUCACAUUUAAGAUUCAAAUAGUAGAAUGUAGUGUCUGGUUUUUCCUAUGUUUUUUACGUUUGAAUUCAGACAUUGUAAUGCAGUGUCAGCAUGCUAGAACCAUAUAAGAAAGCAGCCUUUAUUUAAAAAACAUAGGUCAUUUAGUACUACGAUCUAAUUGUAUUCCUCUUCACUUGUAAAUGAGAGCUCUUAGGUUUGAUUAUGGCCAAAGGUGAAGUUGAACUAGAUUAUUAUGGGAAGCCCAUUAUAAGGCUUAAUCCAUUCCUCCACACUUUUAGUGUAGAUACUAUCGUUUGUUAAAAAAAAAAAAACAUAGAUCAUUAAAGAUUAAAACCCCAGACAUGAAAAGCCAAUAUUUUCAUGCUUGACGCAUAUGACUUGCGGUGUUCUUCACGUAGAAGCCAACUUGAGGUUCUAAUUAAUCAACGUUUUCAGGGCAAUACGUAUAACAUUGAUAGCUAUAAUCGGAAUACAAUUUGUGAGUAACUUUUGAACCAGUAUCCCAAGAGGUUUAAGCACAUUUCCAACCCAUUGUUCUAGUCUACAUAAUUGCGAUAAAACUUAAUUAUGUAACCAAAAUUCCCUUCACAUUUAUUUAUAAAAGUUUUAAGAUGGGUACUAGUUUAAUCUAGAGACGGAGGUUGAAUAGGUUUCAACUUGAAAAUCUAAACUUCAUUGAAGUCCAAUUUUGUGAGUCAAUAUUGUGUUUAGUCCACUUUGUUGGAUUACGUUCAUUUACUGAUUAUCCAUAUCGGUUUUUCUCUUUGUGAUAGAUGUCAUCCCUUAUUUAUAGGUCUAUCUUUUACUCAAUUUUAUUAAAUAUUGUUUCUCCUUUUUUGACAAUUCUUUCCUCUACCUCCAUGGUUAACUACGUUAAUUGAUCUAUAUUGUAGGUACUCUCUCUCUCUCUCUCUCUCUCUCUCUCUCUCUCUCUCUCUCUCUCUCUAUAUAUAUAUAUAUAUAUAUAUAUAUAUAUAUACACACACAUACUAGUGGUUAACUACGUUAAUUGAUCUAUAUUGUAGGUACUCUCUCUCUCUCUCUCUCUCUAUAUAUAUAUAUAUAUACACACACACACACUAGUAUGAAUUUAUAAAUGUAUGGAAGAUGAAAUUUCUUUGAACUAUUUUUAUGAAUGAUACGUAGAUUAAUUUUUGUUUAUUUUUGUAGGUACUUCCAGGGGCGGAGCCACCAAGGGACUAGGGUAGUCCUUAGCCCAUUCUGACUUCAUCUGAAGUGUGAAUCUCAUAGAAGAAGAUGAAGCAAACGACGUCGUUAAGCUGUUUUGAUUUUAAAUCUUUUUUGCUAUCUAAUGAAACGAUAAGUUUGGCAGAGGAGUUUUAAAAGAGAUGUGCAAUUUUAAAUGGAAAAAGCAACCCCAUUUCUAGUUCAAUUCUCUCACCUAACAGUAAUAUACACUCUAUAAUUUUCUAAAGCAACCCACCUUCUUUAUUUGUAGACAUCUCCCCCUUUUCUUUCUUUUUUCUACUUCUUGGUAUUUUCUUUAGCCUUCCACAACGUACCUCUUACUUGGUUGUCUGGGUUUUUACAUUUUUUUUCUUCUUAAUAUUGAAUUCAAGAGAAUUUUUUUUUCUUCAGUUUUGUGAGGAUUACACAAAUUGGUCAACAUGUCAUGAAUUCAACUUUUUACACACACUCACACACACACACACACACACAUAUUUGUGAAAGGCCCCUUCUCAUUCAGAAUUUUAGCUCCGCCAUUGGGUACUUCUAUAUAUGUUAAAUGUAUUUUAUCAACUUAUGAUAUAGGUAUCAUAUAUGAUGACAUAUAAAUUUUCUUUUAACUAUUUUCUGUGAAAGUGGUUAAAUUUUCAUAUUUAAAUAUUCAAAGGGUUGUUUUAUUAUCACUCUACAUUUUGUUGACCACAUCAAAACAUCCCACUUUUACUUUUUAAAUUAAAAAUUAUCUUAAUCCACCCCACGUAAUUUCUUACACUACCCUUACACCCCACAAGGAAGUAAUAAAGGUUGUUGCUGCCUUGUUGGGAGAUUUAUCUAGUGUUAGAAAGAAUUGCUUCUGUUUGUCGAAUUUCAGGAAAUAAAAUGUGCCUAGCUUCUAGUGUACUGCUAUUUGUAUAAUUUAGCUGUUUUUGUUUGAUUCUUGGUCUAGUCUCUGACUUGACCUCUUACAUUUUUAUCCUAUUUUGCUCUGGGAUUUCAAACUUCAGCUAGCUUUUCUCUUCUCUAAGUCUUUCAUUUCAACCGAAAAAAUGAGAAAUGAAACUCUCUUUUCCAGACAUUCGUAAAUGCCAAAUGGAAUUAGUUUCUAAUUCAUAAUUAAUGAUUAUGCAUGUAUCAACAUCAAUAUAUUUCCCUUACGAAAAAUCUCAUGGGUUCCUUGUAGCAUUUGCUAUUGUGAUCGCGAUUACACCCCCAACUAAUGAAAAUUAUCUUUAAAAAAGUGAUAUCGGAAUUUGCAGAAUUUAUUUUCAAAUUUGAACUCUUAGAAUAAAGCUCGAAAACAAGAAAAAUCGAUCUCAACGUGUUCUUGAAUUAUAUUAGGUUUUGCUGUUAAAAGAACUUACGGAGAGUACUAUUUAAGGCUUAAAUAGUCAUUUUAUAUCAAGAUAUGUGAGUUAUUUAUUAUUAAAUUUUAUGUGGAAUGUAGUCAACAAAAUAUGGGGUGUUAAUAAAAAAAAAACCCAUAUUCAAAUUAAAAUUUUGAGUAAAGAUGCAUAAUCAAAAUUGAAAAGUAGGAAAAUUGGACUAAAUCCAACAACUCAAAUUUGGAUCUUGGUCAAAGUACCCGAAAAUCUAAGUCAAAUGUUAAAUCUCAAGUUAUUUCCACAUACAUACCACAUAGAAAUACCCUACACAUAUGCAGAUAAAUAAACAAACAAAAUGUGCACAACAGAUGUAGGAAUUACCGACGCAAAUUUCACCAUUAAGAAAAUCCACGGGCUCUCAAAUUAGGACAAACACUAAGAGAAGAAGUAUAGAAAGAUUUACAAAACUCAUCAACUAGAUACACAUACUAGUAGGCAAUUUUGUCCACUCGCUUUGCUACUCGAUCUCUCUUCAGUCUUUAAGUGUGGAAGUGGCACCACACUAACGUGGCCGUCAAUUAGAUUCUUCUCGAAAUUUGCAAGAUACUAAGGUGAUCAUUUAGAAUGUAUGGGAUGAAAUGUUUUUUUCAAAAAUUAACCGAUUACGGAAAUCACAAGACACAUUUCUAUCAUACAUUUCUGAUUUAUACGUAAAAAAAAACCUAGAAAUUAAAAAAAAAAAUCUUUAAAAACACACGGACACAAAACUGAUUUUUCUCAAAGUAAAAACUCAGGGAUGCUGAUCACGUUAAAACCCAUAACAUGCAACACUUAGGUUUUGAAUAAUCAGUGAAGAAAAUAUAAAUUUACCUACAUUUUACAGAUUCAAUAAUGUAUCUAUAUAUAUAUAUAUAUAUAUGUAGUUUCACUGAUUCACCUAGAUUGUAUAUGUGUAAGAUAUUUAUGUAUCUUUCCUUUUGUCUAACUUAACUUUAUGUACAUUAAUGCUAAUCAUAAGUUUAAGUUUCGCGAUUCGUCAUAUCUUUUGCUUACUUAGAUGCACCUAUAUCUACAUUUUACGUUUAUUAAUGUGCCUAUAUGUACAUUAAUGUGUAUAUUAAUUUACCAGAGAAGGAUCAAUUAUGAUAUUUGAAAAAAAAAAAAAAUUAAAUUGGCAUGUCAUUCCCACCCAACACAAGAUGGUAAAUCAUGCAUUAAAAUGCAAGUGAAAGAUAUAGUUGGUAUGUACCAUUGUUAAGUAUAUUUUCAAUGUCCCUCUACAUAAUUAUGACACAUGCACUAAAAAAAUCUCUCACACCUUAUUAUACAUCCCACUCAAUUUGUAAAUUUAAACCAAUAAAUGAGAUAGUAGCCAAAUUUGCAAUAAAUCCCACCAAAGAUAUAUGUGUUCAACAAUAUUUUUUGGACAAGGAAAAGUAUGUAAUAUGGGAAAUCAAGGAAUAAAAGGAAAUUUGCUUACUUAGAUCUCACCACCUCGUUGAUUACCAUUAGAAGAGUUUGAUUUAAUAUAUCUAUUCGACGAAUCUCGAAACUCAAAUUUAUCUAACGGUAAUCAAUGGGGUGGUGAGGAUGUGAAAGUAAAAAGGUUUUACGAUGAAAAAGAAACCUUGCAAGACUUGUAAGAGUUAGACUAUUUCUCAUAUUGGCAAUUAGUUUUACGUAGAACUUCAACUUUCUUCAUGGUAUCAAAACAAGUUUGCCCAUGUUUGAAGCCCCACGUGUUCCGCGUCACCCAUUUCAUGUUGACCAUGUAUUUGGCUUGAAAAUCACCACACAUGAGAAAUGUGUGAGAAUGUAAUUAUAAAAGAGUCCAACAUUGGUAAAAGAAAAAACCUUGCAAUGGUUUAAAAGAUGUUGAAAUAUUUCUCAUAUUUCCAAUUAGCUGAAGAUAAGAAAAAAUUAGCUUCAAGUAACUCAAAUUUUCUUUUAUUUUUAUUAUAAAUAAUGAGAAAUCGGAUUCAUAAACGAAGGGCCAGCCAAAAGCCACAAAGGCGAAUACAAAUACAGGAGGGAGUACAUAAACAACAUUUAAAUAAUAGAUGGUAUUUUCCCAACCAAAUUCACAGAGGAUGAAAACCGCAUUGUCAUGAAAUUCAACAGGCUUGAAUACAUCAACAACAUAAAGCAAAAGUAAAAAUACAAAAGUCACAAGGAGGGACAACAAACUCAUAGUGAGUUGCCGCAACUUAUUCUGAUUCAUUAUGAGUCAAACAGAAAACUAAAACUUGAAUAACAACUUGCACAACGACUCUGGUAGAUCCAUUGUACUUUAUUCAUUAUUUGGGAUUCAAAUUUGAUAAACAAGUUUGAUGUCCUCAUCAUUAUCAUCCACAGAUACUUGAAUAUUUUUCAUAUUUCUUUGGCUCUUCUUCAAGAAAGUUUUGAACCAGUUUGCCGAGCGUUUUGGGUACCUUGUCAGUGCACCAUCAUAGUCCACAUAGUUAAGACCAAAUCGACUACGAUAUCCUUCUGCCCAUUCAAAGUUAUCUAGUAUCGACCAUGCAAAGUAUCCUUUUACUUUAGCACCCGAUCUGCGCACACAUGUAGAAAACAAAGCAACCAAAUGCAUUGAUAUGGAUAAUUAAAUAUAAUAAUAAAAAAUUGUAAGAAGGCAUAGAUAUAUAUAUAUAUAUAUAUAUAUAUAUAUAUAUAUAUGUAUGUAUGUAUGUAUGUAUGUAUAACACUAUAUAUAGCCUUAUUGAAUUCCUAAACAAGGUACUAACUGAAUUGCUGCUUGAAGGUGACAAAGGUGGUCACGAUAGUAGUUGACUCUGAUGGUAUCAUUAAGGGCUUCUGCGAGUGAUAAGCUGCUAUUAGUGAACUCAUCGACGUCUUCAACAUAAUGAAUUAUUAUAUGCGUUGAUAAUUUUCUCUAAAGUGAAAUCUGCAUUUAGUUUUUGAGUUUAGACUGCACCUAAUUUAGUUAUGCAUACACAUGUCAAACUUUGAUAAUGCAAUUAAUUAAGGCUUGAAAGUACUGCUUACCAUUUUCAGUAAUAUAAAUGGUUGGAUCAUUAUACUUUUUCUUGGUAUAAAUCAUAAGAUCGUGAAUUCCUUUUGGAUAAAUGUAUAACCAAUCCGAAGCAGCCUACAAAACCAUUUAAAGAUAAUUGGAAUUCACAUGAGUUAUGUUUUUAUGCAGAAAAAAAUACAUAUUAAUCCUCCAAGUGCCAAAAACUUUUAAGUUCAAAUUGGAUGUGUACCCGUGGACCAAUGGGUUUUCCAUUAACCUCAGCUGUCAUAAUAUACACAAAUAUUAGAAUCUAAGUAUUCUGAGAACUUAAUUAAUUGCUUGAAAUAAGUUUUUAAUUUGUACUCACCUGUCGCAUUAACAUGAGGAUCAUUUAUGUAGUUUUCAGGGUCAGAUGAAUUCUCUAGUGGAUUGCUUGCAUAUCUAGCAGAGUAGUAAUUGAUUCCUAUAAAAUCAUAUGACCUAUUUAGAGAAUCGGACCGCUCUUUUGUGAAUUGAGGUAAUCGUGAUCCAACAUAUGUUCGCAUGCUUCGGGGAUAGUCACCAGUUGUGAUUGGGUCCAUAAACCUACAAAAUAUACAGAUAUUCCAAGCAUGAACUCAUGGUAGCUAUAAUGUCUUGCUAACUAUAUUUAUAUUUUUUAAUUUUGUAUAAAAAAAUAAAGUAUUUAUAAAUAAAAUAUUUAACUAGUUGAUACAUCCGAUUGAAAAAUACUAGUUGAUAUAUAUGUAUAUUUCAAUAAUAUAUUUACCAUCCAAACAUAAAAUCCAAAGCUCGAUUUGCAGCAUCUAUAUCUUUUUUUGCCUUGGAAGCUGGCUCAAACCAGUGUGUCACUACUGCUAAUCCUAUCGCACCAUUUUGAUAUUCCUACAUAAGAAAGUUCAAGAAUAUAUAUUAAGAGGCAGACAAAAAUAUCACCGUUGUUUAUCUCAAUAUGCCAAGUAUUCCUAAUUUAUUGUAACUAAAUACUACUAAUGCCUCAAAUAUAAUUUUUAAUUAAGAACCAAAUAUUCAGUCCCAAAUAAAUAAUUAAUUAGACCUGGUAUUUAGUCUUGUACAACUUCACAGCGGCUGCAUGAGAAAGGAGUUGGUGGUGUGUCACCAAAUAUGGUUCAACAGCCGAAUUUCCACCAAUGCAGUUCAAUUUUUGCCAAGCUGAGCAUCGUCCCGGUGCGUGAGUCCCGAUUGCAUAACCAUGGUUAUUUACAGUAAAUGGCUCAUUCAAAGUGAGCCAGCGCUUUGCUCGAUCACCAAAAUGCAUAAAACAAAGAUCUGCAUAAUAAGGUACUCACCAAAAUAAUAAGGUAUUUUUCCAACCAAAUUCACAAAGGACGAAAACAACUUUGUCGUAAAAUCCAACAGGCUUGGAUACACCAACAACAUAAAGCAAAAGUAAAACUAAAAAGCCACAAGGAGAGACAAUAAACUCAGAAUGAGUUGCUCUAACUCAUUCUGACUCAUAAUGAGUCAAACUAAUAACUAAAACUUGAAAAAACAACUUGCCCAAUGAUUCUGGUGGAUUCUUGUACUUUAUUCAUCAUAUUUGGGAUUCAAAUUUGAUACACAAGAGUGAUGUCCUCAGCAUUAUCAUCCACAUACACUUGAAUAUCUUUUGCAUUUUUUUGGCUCUUCUUCAAGAAAGUUUUGAACCAUUUUGCUGAGCAUUUUGGAUACCUUAUGUUGAAUAUUUUAAAAAUAUAUAUAUAAUUAUAUAUAUAUAUAUAUAUAUAUAUAUGGGAAUGUUUGACGGGAAGUUGGGUCAUUGACCCAACAAUUAUAUCUUUUCAAAUUAGCAUUGUAACCUUUUGCUAAUACCCAACGGUUGCUGCAUGUUUUACAACAUAUAUGAUCUUUGGGUAAUUGGUGUUUGUAUUAGAUAUGUCCAUUGGACAUAAUGAUGCAAUGUGUUGUAUCCCAUGGUGAAAAGACAUACUCAAAUCAAAUGAUGUGUCUAAAAGGUGUAAUUCUCUUUAUAUAUAGUGGUGACAUUAGUAGAAAAGAAUCAUUCAAAAAUUUGUUGUCUACAUAAUUUCUUUGCUCUCUUCUCUCCUCAUCACAUUUAUACAAUUUCUUUCUAGUUAUUUUUAAGGGAAUACAAUUCGGUUUUGCUAAUCGAAUAUUCCAUACUUUGUUGUAUCCUGGAAGUGAUUUGCCAAGAACCCUUUAGCAAACUCAUUCGAGUGGGGGCAAAUAACACUUUAAGGAAACGAUUCAAGUCGUACCUCAAAGUCAUUAUUCGGAUUAUUCUCCAUAUUUCUAUAUUUAAUCUAACAAUCUUAAAGUGUUAUUUUCGUUAUGGAUAACAAAUCUGAUAACAUGGCUUUGAAGAUUAUCAAUCAAGAUGUCUACAAGUUAGACAAAUUUGAUGGAUCAAAUUUCACCCGAUGGAAGGACAAGAUGCGUUUCAUGCUUACUGUUCUAAAUGUCAUAUAUGUGUUGGACCCGAAAUUGGAGCCUAUUCGUGAACCAAGUGACAAAGACUCGGACAAUAUAGUUGCCGAUCGAAAGAAGCGUGAAGAAGAUGAAUUGGUAUGUCGAGGACACAUCUUGGGCACAUUAUUUGAUCGUUUAUAUGACCUGUAUGCACACAUUCAAUCUCCAAAGGAAAUUUGGGAAGCACUUGAACACAAGUACACAACGGAAAAAAGAGGUACCGAUAAAUUUUUAAUGUUCAAAUAUUAUGAAUUCACUAUGUUUGAUAACAAACCCAUCCUAGACCAAGUUCAUGAAUUAUUAGUCUUAGUCUCCAAGCUUUGUGAACUUAAAAUAGUUAUUCCAGAUCCUAUGAUAGUUGGGGCUAUUAUGGCAAAAUUACCCCAAACAUGGAAUAACUAUAGAAAGAAACUUCUACACAUGGUGGAAGAUAUUAGUUUGGAGAAUUUGCAAAAGGGUAUUCAAAUUGAAGAGGAAACUCGAAAUCGUGAUAAGAAUUUUGCAAAUCAAGAUUUCUCUAAAGUUCACAUUGUCGAAGGAAACAAAUAUAAAAAGAACUUCAAAGUCAAAAUUGACAAAGGGAAGUUUAAGAAGACCAAUUCCAACAACAACCAAAAGAAUGCAAAUGGUGUAUGUUACCAUUGUGGAAAGAAAUGCCAUUACAUUCGUGAUUGUAGACACAGAAAAGCAAGUGAGGAAUAUGCCAAUAAGACCAAUAGCGCAAAUAUGGUGGAUUUUUACAAUUGCCGGAGGAGCAAUUUCUUGGGCUUCGAAGAAGCAAACAUGUAUAGUACAUUCAACUAUGGAAUAUGAAUUUAUAGCAUUAGCAGCAGCAGGUAAAGAAGCGGAAUGGAUUAGAAAUUUGUUAUUGGAAAUAGAGUUGUGGCCACAACCAAUGCCAUCCAUUUCUUUAUACUGUGAUAGUGAGGCUACUUUGUCUAGAGCAUACAAUAAGGUAUACAAUGGAAAAUCUAGACAUAUUAGCUUGAGACAUGAAUAUGUCAAGCAAUUAAUAACUGAUGGAGUUAUUAAUAUUGUUUAUGUUAAAUCAAGUAAUAACUUGGCGGAUCCGUUAACGAAAGCACUUUCAAGAGCUUUGGUAGUUAGUACAUCUAGUGGAAUGGGGCUAAAACCCUUUACUGAAAAUUAGCCACCAAUAAUGGUAACCCGACUUUGUCUAGAACAUCACUAGUUUAAAAGUUUAAUGGGUAAUAACAAGUUAUUGUUAAGUGGUUGUGUAAGCACUGAAAAUUAUUAUAUAGCUCAUUCCAGGAUGAUCAGUGCAAGACUGCUACGUUUAGGAGGAUGAGUUUUAACUCUUAAUGAGGUUAUUUGUAGUUAUGUCUAUAGUAGCAGGGACAUGGGAAGGAACCUCACCUAUAUAAACAUAAGAAGUGGUGCCGCUUCUACCAAGAGUUGGGUUUUCUCUUGUAAAUGUUUAUGAAACCAGGAUGAAGCACAAGGCCAUAAUAGUGCUUAAUUGGUUCAAGAAUUUCUUUAAAGAAAUAAGACAUAAUCAUGUGUGUAGUGAUUCCGGUUUUAACAUAAGAAUAGGUGGUUUAAACUUAGGUCACAAUCGCAUUCGUUAUAACUUUGAAUUACUUACACUAAUUAAAGGUUUAAUUCGAAAGACACCUUUAUUGUAUGCAUGAUUAUAUCGGUAUGCUUGUGAUAAUUAUAAAGAGAGUUGUAAUAUCAUUUUCUAUAUAUUUUUCAAAUAGGGAAGGAUUGUUGAAUAUUUUAAAAAAAUAUAUAUAUAAUAAUAUAUAUAUAUAUAUGGGGAUGUUUGACGGGAAGUUGGGUCAUUGACCCAACAAUUAUAUCUUUUCAAAUUAGCAUUGUAACCUUUUGCUAAUACCCAACGGUUGCUGCAUGUUUUACAACAUAUAUGAUCUUUGGGUAAUUGGUGUUUGUAUUAGAUAUGUCCAUUGGACAUAAUGAUGCAAUGUGUUGUAUCCCAUGGUGAAAAGACAUACUCAAAUCAAAUGAUGUGUCUAAAAGGUGUAAUUCUCUCUAUAUAUAGUGGUGACAUUAGUAGAAAAGAAUUAUUCAGAAAUUUGUUGUCUACAUAAUUUCUUUGCUCUCUUUUCUCUCCUCAUCACAUUUAUACAAUUUCUUUCUAGUUAUUUUUAAGGGAAUACAAUUCGGUUUUGCUAAUCGAAUAUUCCAUACUUUGUUGUAUCCUAGAAGUGAUUUGCCAAGAACCCUGUAGCAAACUCAUUCGAGUGGGGGCAAAUAACACUUUAAGGAAACGAUUCAAGUCGUACCUCAAAGUUAUUAUUCGGAUUAUUCUCCAUAUUUCUAUAUUUAAUCUAACACCUUAUCAGUCCACAUUCAUAGUCCACAUUGUUGAGACCAAAUCGAUUAUUAUAUCCCUUUGUCCAUUCGAAGUUAUCCAGUAUCGAUCAUGCAAAGUAUCCCUUUACUUUAGCACCUGAUAUGCGUACACACAUAGAAAACAAAGUGCAUUGAUAUAGAUAACUACAAAAAAAAUGUAAGAAGGCAUAUAUAUGUAUAUUAUAUGUAGCCUUAUCUAAUUCCUUAACAAGUACUAACUGAAUUGCUGCUUUAAGGUGACAAAGGUGGUCACGAUGGUAGUUGACUCUUAUGGUAUCUUUAAGGGCUUGCUCAAGUGAUAAGCUGCGAUUAUUGAACUCAUCGACACCUACAACAUAAUAAAUUAUCAUUUGCGUUGAUAAUUUUAUCUAUAAAUAAAUAAAUUUGCAUUUAGUUUUGAGUUUAGACUUUAAAACACCUAAAUUUACUUAUAUAUACACAUGUGAAACAUUGAUGAUGCAAUCAAUUAAGGAUGAAAGUAUUAAUGCUUACCAUUUUCAGUAAUGUAAAUGGCUAGAUCAUUAUACUAUUUCUUGGUAUAAAUUAUUGAGAAAUGAUUUUCAUUACCUCAAAAGAUAAGUUACAAGAGUAUUUAUAUGGAAGCUAAAGUAACAAACUAACAGAGUUAAGGAAAGUUACAAGAGUGGUAAUUUUCCUAACUAACUUUUAACUGUGUGUUAUUACUAUUAUGUUGAGUUACUUUAGUAACUUUCUCUUCACACCCCCUCAAGCUAAACGGAGAAGGUUGAAGUGAUAGCUUGGACCAGAGAAGAAGAAAGCGUUGCAUUGGAAGGGAUUUGGUGUGAAUGUCUGCAAGUUGAUCCUGACUGCAUACAAAUUGGACGGUCAGCAACUUGGCAAGAACAAGUUCUCGUAUGUAAUGGUAAUCUAUUUCCACAUGUUUGGUGCGAGCAUGGAAAACAGGGUUGGAAGCAAGAGCAAUCGCAGAAACAUUGUCACACCAAAUUUGAGGAAGAGAAGGCAGCUUGAAACCAAUAUCCAUGAACAAUUUGCAGAUCCAUGUUAAUUCAGCAGCAGUAUGAGCCAAUGACCUAUAUUCAACUUCGGUGGAUGAACGAGCAACAGUGUGUUGCUUCUUGGCACUCUAACUAAUGAUGGAGGGUCCAAGAAAGAUGCAAAAUCCCCCAGUGGAACGUCUAUCCCAGGAACAUCCUGCCCAAUCAGCAUCAGAAUAUGCUUUGAGAGUGAGAGGAGUCGAGUUUUAGGAAACCAGAUACCAUAACCAAGCGUUCCCUUAAGGUAGCGCAGGAUGCACUUCACUGCUUGAAAAUGGGGUUCUUGAGGAGAGUGCAUAAAUUGGCAGACCAAGUUGACUGAAAAAGAGAGAUCCGGACGAGUCCAUGUAAGAUACUGAAGAGCAUCAACAAUAGAACGAUAUUCCUCUGGAUUAUCCAAUAGAGAACCAGUGAGAUCAAGCUUAGUAGAACCAAGAGGAGUGGUGCAGGGCUUUGUUCCAUCCAUUUUAGUGCGUUUGGGAAGAUCUAAGAUGUACUUAGAUUGAUGAAUAAAGAUCCCUGUAGAAGCACGGGUAACUUCCAAUCCAAGGAAAAAGUGCAAAUCACCUAAAUCCUUAAUGGGGAAUUGAACAUUGAGUUGAGAGAUAACAUUGGUACAAGCUGUGGAAGAAGGUCUGAUGACAAGAAUGUCAUCAACAUAGACCAAAACAAGCACCAAGACAGGUUGUUGCAACACAAACAAGCUAUGAUCAGAUUGGGAGGCCUGAAAUCCCAUAGAGAAGAGAGCAGAUUGCAGUUGUUCAAACCAAGCUCGAGGAGCUUGUUUCAAUCCAUAGAGGGAUUUCUGCAAGUGACAAACAUAAGAAGAUUUGUCUUGAUCAAUGAAUCUUGGAGGCUGAGACAUAUACAUAUCUUCCUUUAAAGAGCCAUGCAAAAACGCAUUACUGACAUCUAAUUGAUGCAGAAACCAAUUUGAGUGAACUGCAAGUGUGAGAAGAAGGCGAAUGGUAACUAGUUUAGCCACUGGGCUAAAAGUAUCACUGUAAUCAAUACCCUCAUGCUGAUUAUAGCCCUUAGCUACUAACCGGGCUUUAUAACGGUCCACAGAACCAUCAGGGUUCCUUUUAAUCCGAAAGACCCAUUUGCACCCAACAAGAUUGUAAAAAGGAUCAGAGGGAACCAAUGUCCAAGUUCUUGUAUUUUGUAGAGCAUUAAACUCAUCUUGCAUUGCAGUUCUCCAAUAGGGAUAUUUGGAUGCCUGAAUAUAUGUAGUGGGAACAAAAUCAGUGUUUAAGUUAGAAGGAAUAGGAUGGUUGGUAGCAGUAAAUGCCUUGGGCUUAAAAAUGCCAGAUUUGGACCUGGUUUGCAUAUGAUGAGUAGAGACAAGAAGGGUUGGAGGGGGUACAAUACCAGGAAGUGAGACAGGUGCAGGUAUAGAGACUGAUUCAGAUGCAAAUUCAGUAGAACUGACAGGGUGUAGAGGUUGAAAGACAUGUGGAGAGGCAAGAGAUGGGGAAUGUGUAAUAGGAGAAGUAAGAGUGGAUGGAGAAUAAAGGUUGGGAAAUGUAAGGGAAAAUGAGGAAGGGUUGACUGAGGAUGAAGCACAAUAAGGUAGUUGGGAAACAAGAGAGGAAUUAUGAAAGGGGAAUGUGGUUUCAUCAAAAUAGACAUGCCAGGAGACAUACACCCUAUUAGUGAAAGGGUUUAAGCAUCUGUAACCUUUGUGAACCAAACUAUAGCCAAUAAAAACACAUAACUUGCUUUUGGGGUCGAGUUUGGACUGUGUAUAUGGCUUGAGCCAAGGAUAGCAGCUGCAACCAAAGAUUUUCAACUGAGUGUAAUCUGAUUUCUUCUUGAAAAAUUGCUCCCAAGGUGAAAACUUUGCAGUUGGAGGAAGUCUGUUAAUGAGAUAAACUACAGUGAGAAAUGCUUCUACCCAAAAUUGAUGAGGAACCUGAGAUGCAAUAAGUAGGGUCCUGGCUGUUUCCACAAUGUGUCGAUGUUUCCGUUCUGCACACCCGUUCUACUCAGAAGUGUAUGGACAACUAAAAUGUUGUUGAAUGCCAUGGCUGGACAAAUGAUGUUUGAACUGAGCACUAAUAAACUCACCCCCUGAGUCACAUCUCAAAGUUCCAAUUUUGUUACCAGACAGAUUUUCAACCAAAGCUUGAAAGUUGACAAAAACUUGAAAGACAUCUGAUUUAUGUUUGAGAUGAUACAACCAAGUGUACUUAGUAAAGUUAUCAACAAAGAUGACAUAGAAUCGAUAUCCACUUACAGAAGACAAAGGAGCUGGACCCCAAACAUCCGCAUGAACUAACUCUAGAGAUCUAGAAGAAUUACAGAUAGAAUUCUGAAAAGGUAACUUGGCACAUUUUCCUAAAACACAAUUCGAACAUAAAUAUUGUUUUACAGUAGUAGAUAAAGGCAAUGAAGACUUUGAGAUCAUAGAUUGCAAAGUCUUAAACAUUAGAUGCCCCAAACGUUGAUGCCAAGUAUGUUGUGAUGCCUUGAGUGCAGUAAGACCAUGAUGCUUUGGUGAAGACUGAGAAAAUGAAGAAAAUGGAUAGAGACCACAGCGAACAUGAGCUCUAAAAAGCAUCAUCCCCCGUAGUAAGAUCAUUGACAUUAAAGUCAAAAGGAUUUAGAGUUAGGGAACACCAAUUGUCUCUAAGAAACAUAUCUGUAGAAACAAGAUCAUGCUUCAAGUGUGGAACGUGCAACACAUUCUGUAAUUUAAAAGCAGCAGAAUGUGUAUGAAGGAAAGAGGAACCAGAGUGGAGAAUCGGCAAACCUUGGCCGUCUCCAAUGGAGACCUUAUCGGGGCCACUGUAAGGCUGGGGAUUCUGAAGAUUGUUGAUGUUGUUGGUCAUAUGAGAGCUUGCUCCAGAGUCAAGUAGCCACGGAGGAGAAGAAGAUGCAUUUGAGCGAGCAUACAUAGCAAGCUUGGCUGGUGGAACGGCCUUGAAAAUUAAGAUUCAUGCGAUUAGAGCAGUCAAUCGCUUGAUGACCAGUGUCUUCACAGAUUUGACAAGGAACAUUCCGGGAAAUGUUGUUGAAGAACUGAGAACUAUUGCGAUUUCCUUCACUACUACGAUUUCCUUCACGAUUAUAAGCAUUCUUGUUGGUGUUGGUACGAGUGUAGCAAUUGCGAUUAUUGUAAUUCCUUGGAGAACCAUUGCCUCGGUUGAAAUUAGAGGAAUGAGGUGGCUGAGCAAUGUAUGCUUGAGGUGUAGGAAGGAGUAGAGGAGCAGUGGAGGACGUCGGAAUAGAAUGAAAAGCUUGAUAGGGUUCAGAGUUUGUUCCUUGAGUGGUAUGCUUACGAGCAAGGGCCAUUUCUUUACCUAACAAAAAUCCGUGAAGAUCAUCAACAAUAGUAUCAGUAAGGAGAAACUGAACAGAAUCCACAAAAGAAUCAUACUCAUCAGGUAAGCCAUUUAGAAUGAUGAUGAGUAGAUCAUGAUCAUCCACAGGAACACCAGCGGCUGCAAAAGCAUCAGUGGCCUCUUUGAUGCGUUGGAGAUACUCCGAGAUAGAAGAUGAACCUUUCUUUGCAGAUUGCAAGGAUGAACGGAGUUGAUGAAUAUGAGAACGAAAGACACCGCCAAAUCGCAGUUCAAGAUUUUGCCAGAGUUCUCGCGCAGAUUGAACGCCAACGGUGAAAGGAAUCAGAUCUUCCGAUAGUGUGGAAUUGAUCCAAAUAAUGAUGUUUUGAUCUUUCUCAUACCACAAUUCAUAGUCUGGAUUAGGAACAGAGGUGAAUCGACCAGAAUCAUUAGUAAGAAACUGAGGCGGUGGAGGUUCAUAUCCGUUAACAAUACCGGUAAGUUUGUAACGAUAAAAGAUCGGCUCAAAGAGAGAUCGCCAAACAAGAUAGUUAUGGCGCUUGAGCUUAGUCUGAAUCAUGCUCCCAAUAUUGUGGAUCGUAAUCGAGUUGAUCGAGGCCUAAAUUGAAGAAUUAGGGUUUGUGUUUAUCGGAAUUGAAGGACGAGGAUUUGGAGAAAAAGAAUAAGGAUCAACAGGCACAGAAGAAGAAUGAUGGUGCGCGAUCACUGGAGAAGAAGAAGUCGAAGAAUUUGACGCCAUAGAUCGUUGAUCUCAGAGAGAAAUGACAGGAAUGAGACCUGUUUGAUGACUGAGAAAAUGAGAGGAAGCGUAAAAACGAAGGAUCUUAGUCGGUAGACUUUAGGCGAGUGAUACCAUAUUGAGAAAUGAUUUUCAUUACCUUAAAAGAUAAGUUACAAGAGUAUUUAUAUGGAAGCUAAAGUAACAAACUAACAGAGUUAAGGAAAGUUACAAGAGUGGUAAUUUUCCUAACUAACUUUUAACUGUGUCAUUACUAUUAUGUUGAGUUACUUUAGUAACUUUCUCUUCAUAAAUUAUAAGAUCAUGAAUUCCUUUUAGAUAAAUGUAUAACCAAUCUAAAGCAGCCUACAAGACCAUUUAAAGAUAAUGAAAUUCUCAUCACGAGUUAUGUUUUUAUGGAGAAAAUAUACAUAUUAAUCCUCCAAAUGCUAAAAAAUUUAAGUUCAAAUUGUAUGUAUACCCGGGGACCGAUGGGCUUUCCAUUAACCGCAACUGUCAUAAUAUAGCCAAAUAUUAGUAUCUAACCAUGGAAGCACCAGUGACUCCUAAUAGUUUGUAUGUUUGGAGGAGCAUCGCGGCUUCGAGGUAGGUGAUUCACAAAGGCCAGCGGUGGCAAGUGGGCAAUGGGCAGAAAAUUCGAAUAUGGAGUGAUAAUUGGAUUCCGAGGGAUUCCUUUUUUCAGAUUCUAACGCCACCACCAAGGAACUGGGAUAUGGAGGCUAUGAUGGAUGAGCUUAUCUAGGGUAUACCGAAACAGUGGAAUCUCCAGUUACUGAAUGUUCUUUUUUCAUCCGAGGAAGUGGAGUUAAUCCAAAGUAUUCCGCUUAGCGUUCGGGAUGUUGAAGAUAGGCGAGUUUGGCAUUAUGAACAUAAUGGGAAGUUCUCAGUCAUGAGUGCUUAUCAGGUGGCUCAGGGUUUACUCGACAAUAACGGUAAUAGAGUAGGUGGAUAUUCGUCCUCUUUUGGUGGUGUGAGGGAGAAAGAUUGGAAGAAAAUUUGGAAUGCGAGUGUUCCUGGGAAGGUGAAGAUUUGUGUGUGGCGUGUUUGUUUGGAUGCUUUACCCAUACGGUUGAAUUUGCGCAAAAGGAAAGUGUUGGGAGACGAGGCGCGUGUGGUUUGUGGGGUACAAGUAGAGUCAACGGAGCAUGGAUUUAGAGACUGUAGUCUGGCGAGAGUGGUGUGGUUUCGAAGUUUGGGGCUAAGGGUGGAUAGUGGAUGUGACCGAAUGUCUCUUGUGCAGUGGAUGGUUACAUGUGCGCAUCAACUCCCUAUGGUUGGUUUCGAGCUUUGGUUGAUGUUGUUAUGGGCAUUUUGGAAACAUAGGAAUGAGGUGUUGUGGAAUGGGACUCGGAUGCCACCACAUGAUGCAUGAAUUUCAUAAAUGGCAUAAACCCCUAACUUGGAGGAUGGCUAGGGAGAUCCAAAAAUGGAGGAAACCUAGGGUCGGAUGGAUCAAAUGUAAUUUUGAUGGGGCUUGGAGUAUAGGUGGCUCUCGGGGGGGGGGGUGCUAUGGUGUCGUGCUUAGGGAUCACACAAGUGGAUUUCUGGGGGCUAUGGCUGGUCUUUUGAUGGGGCUUAGAGUAUAGGUGGCUCUCGAGGGCGGGGGGUUGGGGGGCACUAUGGUGUCGUGCUUAGGGAUCACACGUGUGGAUUUCUAGGGGCUAUGGCUGGUCCUGUUGAGGGGUCUACGUCGGCCUUGUAUUCAGAGCUGUUUGCAGAGCGCCACGCAGUGGAGUUAUAGACUAUAUCCGCCCGAUGCCAAGGUAAAGUUGGAAGGCGAUUCAUCUGUGGUGACGGCUACUAUGACAGGAAAAGAGGACGAUGAUUCCGUUUGGGGUUAGGUUAUAAAUGAUUUGAGAUUUUUUUCUUAUGGAGUUGCCUUAUGUGGAGUGUGGUCACGUUCAGAGUGAAGGUAACUUAGUUGCGCAUUGUCUUGCCCGGUUGGGCCUCAGCUGUUCUCAGGAUGUGAUGUGGUUCGAGGAGCCUUCGGAUUUGAUUCAAGAUCUUUUAUUUGAGGAAGGCAUGUAAUUUCAUUUCUCUUUGUUCAUUUGAGGAUAGGUAUUUUGUUGUGUGGGACACUCUUUUCCUUUGAUUGGGUUGAAAGCCCCAUCAAGGUUUUUAUCGAGGUCCAAUUAGCACACUAUCCUUAGUUUGUAUGAAUUCUAAUUAUCUUAAUAAAUGUCGUACUUGUUGCAAAAAAAAAUAAAAAAUUGUAUUUGUACUUAUGUUGGACCUUGGAUGUGAUCACGCAUGACAUACAUGUCGUAUGUGGGAUUUGAUUUGGUUUGUUAUGAUAUAGGUCAAGAUUCAAGAACAAUAAAUUUUUAUCACAUUACGGAGCUUUCAGGUUGAUGUUUUGACUCCAUCAAAUUAAACAAGAUUUGAUUAGAUGUAUUAGGUCCGAAGAUACAUCUUGUCUUCAUAUAGGUAGAUGGAAACAAUCGGACAAGCAUACCCACAUGUUCAUGUAUAUACUAUAUCAUGUAUUUAUUUUUAUUUUUUGUCAAGAAUACUAUAUCAUGUAUUAAUAUAGUACAAAACUGUUGUAUGCUCAAUAUUCUCCUUUUCGUUCCUAAUUGUAGGCAAGAGUAUAUAUUUCACCUUAUGAUGAACUAUUUAUAUGCCGGGAGAUUCAUUUUCCUUUUUUUCCCUGGAGACCCUCGGUGGUACACUAAUCAUUGAUAUGAUAAAAAAAAUGUACACUUAGUUAAGAGAGAUAUAAACCUUACUCCUCAUAAAGCAAGGAAAAGAGAAAAUGAGUCAAAAGUAAAGCAAGAUGUCACACUAAAGAGUCACUUUCAAGCAAUAACUUUUGUCAACCCUACGCAUGAGCAAACUCCAUCAACCCCGCACAUGAGCCAACUCCACAGCAAGAUUGAUAGCAUAAAGCUCUGCAUAGAAAGAUUAUCCCAAACUCUGAGAUAAACCACCAAGAAAAUGACCCACAAAAUCUCGAAAAUCCCCACCAUAAGCUGCAAGAUCCAGUUUGUUUAGCAAGGUUAUCCCUGUUCAUUUUUGACCCAAGGACAUGAAGAAGGAUUCCAAAUAAUGGUAACUAUAUAAGGAAAAACGCAGCCUCAUUUGUAUCUAAGCUUAAAUUUAUACUGUUUUAAUAAAAUCAUUGAUGAUUUAGACAUGGAAUUAAUGUUAGAUCUUUCUUUUUGGUUAUUAGGUUGGAAAAUUGUUACCGAGCAUGAGAAUUGGUGGAUUCUAAUGGUUAGAGAAAAAAAAAAGUGCUUGAUGCAUUGUCCACGUCUUGGAGGCAUGCUUUAGUGAAUUCAAUUUCUUAUCUGAUGCUAUCAUCAACCUUGGUUACUAUGUAACUAAUGAUGUAAACUUGAGUUGUAUAAAGAAAAACCAAGCUUAAUUUGACUUGACCAUUUGUGUUGGAGAUAUGUUUUUAAAUAUAUAGAUAGCAAAUGCUGUCCGUACGUCCGUGUGGAAUGUUUAUGCCCAUGCUUAGAGAGAGAAAGAAAAGAGGAAAGAUAGGUAGGAGGGCACUCCAGGGGAGAGGAAAUGGGAGGAAAAUAAUCUAACAUGCUAAGAUGGAGUUUCCACUAUGACUAAAAGGGAGCCCACCCUUAUCAUGGUCUCUUCAUGCACGUAUAAGCCUAGCUCUGCCCUAGCUCUGCCCCAGGUGUAUAAAAUCUACCAUGAAUUCUCUCAUGGACUUACAAAUAAAACCAUCACUCUCCCUCCCUCCCCAGCUGUGUAGGGUUAUUAGCUACAAGUAUGAAUUACUAUAUUGCUAGAGCUUAUCAGUGCCUUAUUAGGCAUUUUUGCAGCUAGCGCGUUGGAUAAUGAUCUUGACCUAGAAACAAUACUACCGACUGAUCAACGACCGGUCCACCACCACCGCCGCUGCUGUCAGCCACCGCAGCCAGCUCUAGGUCUAGGAAUCACAACGUAAACUGGGCGAAGAUUAUCGCGGCCUAUUGCUUGUCGACAGCCAUUGGAAUGGCUCUCAUUCCCAUCCAACUUCACUCCAACAAGCUCCCUCUAACCUUUUGCGUUCUUGGUCUCGGAAUCCUACUUGCCUUUGCUUGUAUAAUGGUUAGCAAAUUUAUCCAGCACUCCUACUCACCACGAAUAAUAGUUUCUCUCUUCCAAUAUUUCAGGGUUUUCUUCGGAGUCACUGCCUUCUUCGUUUCCGUCACAAUCCCAUUUCCUCUCUGGUUCAGAUGUACCGCUUCUCUCAUCUAUGCGGCCUCAGGCCUUGUAGUGUUAUUUUGACACCGCUACUAUACAUAAGGCUAUAGCAAGCAAGGAGAAUACCUCAUAAACAAAACGUUCGAUAGGGGAAACAUAGUGGACGAAAGAUAAAUAAUUUUUUUUAGUGGAUUAUAUUACUUUAUGGGGUUUUACCUUAUGAAAAACAAAGGGGUACGUGGACAUUCUUUGGUUUGGAAUUGACAAAAAAAAACAUCGAAGUUUUGUUUGGUUAGACAUUGAUACUCCCUUCGAAUAACCAAAAAAAAAAAAAAAUGAUACUCCCAAAGGGAUCAUAGCGAGGAAUAUAAGUUCUUGUGUAUGUAUUACCAUUAAUGAAUUCUCUCGUGGAAAUAACAAACCCAUUUCUCCCUCCCUUCCUCCACCCCAGCUUGUGUGCAGGAAAAUGUACUAUAUUACUGGUGCUAUGCCUUAAGGGCUGCAACAACUCAACAAGAUAUUCAUUAGCCCGCCGUUGGACGAUGAUCUUGACCCCGAAAAAGUACCAAUACCAGCUGAACCAGCAGAAACCAGCUCAACUUAGACUAAAUGGGCAAUGAUCAUUGUGGCGUAUUGUUUGUCAACAGCUAUUGCAAUGGCUCUACUACCCAUCCAACUUCACUCCAAGCAGCUCCCUCUAACCUUUUGCUUUCUCGGUCUCGCAAUCACACUUUCCUUUUAUGGUAUCAUGGUUAGCAAAUUCGUUCGGAAAUCUAAAUGCCCGUGUGUCAGAGUUCAUCUGUUCCAUUAUGUCGGUGCCUUCUUCGGAGUGACUUGCCUUCUUCAUUUCCAUCACCAUCCCCUUUCCCCUCUGGUUCAAGUGAAUUGCAUCUAUCAUCUAUGUGGGCUCAUGCCGUGUAAUACUAUUUUGUCACCACUACUAUAAUUGAUCGGAUAUAUCCGGCAAGAAUUAAAAUAAUUCCAGGAAAGAUGAAAGCGUUCGAGAGAGAGGAGACAUAAUUAAAUUGCACUGUUUGAAUUUUACUCUUAUAUAUGUGUGUUCUAGAAUUGGGACAGUUUGUAAACUACAUGGACUAAAUCCGAAGAAAAUGAAAGGACAUGGAUUGCCGGCCGAGAAGCCAGAGCUGCGUGAUUGCUGCGGCAAACGUGUCCGGUGCGUGUGGGAUGUGUAUUAAGUCGAGCUCGACGAAUACAACAAGCUCUUGAUAGCAUGAAUGGAAAUAUGAUUCCAACCUAUCCUCCCAUUGUUUCCGCUUACGCUCUUCUCUCCUUUUCUGCACUUUCUCCUGAGCUUUCUUGUCUGCCAUUUUGGUUUCCCAUUUUCUGCUUGCUUCAAUAGCUUCUUCUGUGCGCUCUUCGAAAUUGCUUCGCCGCCAUUCGGUGCAUUCCUCCGCUUGAGGACCUUUUCGUUUACCUGAUUUUCUUUGCCCUCCAUAGUUCGAUUGUCGUUGCUGCUACAAUGCAUCUGCUUUCUGUAAUUUCAGAUGGAGGAUUCUUUCUCCCUUUGGAUGUUUUGUUUUGUUAGGGUUUAAUUUUUUUUUUGGUUGGGAACGAUAACGAAGGCUGCUCAAAAAAUUUCUUAAUUUAUUCAUAUUUAAUUAAUUUUUCAAUCUAGUUAGGUAAAAGAGUGGGUUCCGAUUCUGCUAUGUUAACAGUUGAAAGAAAAAUUAGCGGAUUAAUUAAUAGAAGUCUGAUAUUGCAACGAAUUCGUUAGUUGAUGUAUAACUUUGCAAUGUUCAAAAAAUAAGGUAUAAGUUUGUUAUAUGACUUAUACUAUGUUUGGAUGAGGGAAAUAGACUUAGAAUUGUGAUAAAAGUCAAAAUUUAUAAAUUGACAUCCACCAAUUUUUCUUGUUUGGAUUCAUAAACAUAGAAAUUUAGAAUUUAUGCGUGGAAAAAAAAACUUGGAAUUUGGAACCUCAAAUUCCUUAGUUUAAAUUCCAUGUAAAUAAGUGUCAUUUCCCAAUUUCUAUAUUGAUUGAGAGUUUAAAAAUAACAAAUUUCGUAUUCAAUUCCAUUGUUUUUUUUAGGUUAACCAAACAAGAAAAUUUACAAAUUCUAGAAAAUAAAAUCUCGUCAUUUCAAUUUCCGUUAUUUUUAAGUUUCUUAGUAAUCUUAAAUUUCUUCAUCCAAACAUAGUAUUAAAGUUGAGGUGAUAAAAAGUAAUUUAUCCAAAAAUUAACGGUGGUUAAAAUACGUCACAUUUGGACGGUAAAGUCAUGGAAACACCUGUUUCUUCAAUAUGUUGGAUCUUAGCUCCAUGAAACAAUAUACUAACUACUACUAAAACAUUGAAAAAUUGAAAUUUAGUUCAAAACAUUGUAGAUAUAUGGAUCAUAUGAACUGCCUGAAAAAUUCUUGAACAACAAACAAUUAGAGCUAUUACUCACAACAUCAAAUAAACUUUCAUUAAUGAAAGAUGUAAAUCGAGAUGUUAUGGGCAAUCAAUGCCCUAUGUAGAGAUUACUCUCCAUCCGAGCGGUGGACACAAGUACUUUCACUAAAAGAAAUAGAGUAACUAAUUAAUUAACUAGAUCCGAUGAACAUAGCACUAGUGAGGCUGCAGACAACUAAUUAAACUCCAAACAUAACAAAAAACAGUUGACACUGAAACCUACGACAAAUAUGAGAUGCCCAUUCUGAAGAGUAAAUCCCAUAUAUAGUCAUAUAUAAUUAUUCACCAGCACUUCAGGGCAUCCAUGAGAGUUAUUUCGCAUCACACAAUACUAUUUGUGCACGCUUGAUCAUCAAUAGUACUAGUAUCGCCUCGGCAUGAUUCUGUUGCAGGAUCAACGGCGGUUUUUUAGAAAUCUUUUAGGGUUGGGUACUUAGAACUAUUAGGUUUGUAAUAUUUAUUGAAGUGAAGAUUACAAAGUAUUAUGAGGAGAAAGGAGGCAACGUAGAUAGAAUAGGCAGCAUAUUUGAACCACAAAGGAAAUGGGAUGCUGAUGGAUAUGAAGAAGGCCGUGACUCCAAAGAAGAGGCCAAAAUUAUGGCAAAGGAGGGUGAUUGAUAUUCCGGCGGGACAGUAGUUGAAGUGAACAAACUUACUUACCAAGAUACAAGUGAAGGCAAGCAAGACUGAUAGUCCAAGAAUGUAAAAGAUUACAGAAAGCUGGCUGGAGGGAAUUUGGACGGGGAGAAGCGCUAGUCCCGUCGCCACUGUGAAGCAAAACAUGACGACUAUCUUUGGCCAAUCUAAAUUGCUGUUGUGGAACUUAUAAUUAGUCUUGUCUGCAACCUGUUGCAUUACAGCUUCUAGGUCUUGUUCGCGAUCGCGAGCAUGAUCAUCCGGGCUAAUUAUAAGAACUUUGAGUAGUUGGAUUGUCUUUGCAAUAAGUGCAAGGAGAAAGGGCUUUAAGAACUGAUCAUAUAAGAAUUAUUAACACCACACUUCAUUUUUGUUCAGCACCGGAGGGAGAGAGAGAGAGAGAGAGAGAGAGAGAGAAUGAGAACGGUUAGAGAUGGUAAUUUAUAUAUAGUAUAAGGAGGGAAGAAACGAAAGAGAUAGAAAAAGAAGUGAGGGAAAUUAUUUAAUACCAAAAUUAGGCCAGAAAGAAGGAAAAGUAAAAUUAAUUAAAGCUAGCGAUAUUCGAUUACAUGUUUUUGGAUGUGAUUGUGAGCAUUGAUAUAGGAAAAUGAUUUGUGCACACUGUUAUUUUCUUCCAGCCGUUGAAUUGAACAUAUAAAGUAGGAUCAAGGGGCUAAAAUUAAGAGAUAAUGUGCAGAAGAUGAAUAAGAGUGUGCAUAAAUCAGUUCCCGUCUACAUAUCGUGUGAACGCUCACAACUACAUGCACAUGUGGACGAUCGACCAUACUAGCAUCCCUCGAAACACUAUCAAAUACACGCCAGGUGAGAAUUGAAAAAACGGGGACACUGACCGAUGUACUUAAUCAAAUUAAGGUCGACUACGUACAAAAAGGAACUAAUUCACAUUCCUCUUUGAAUUCUCGAAAGAGUAGUACAAGAGUGCAGUUAUGAAUUGGGUCCCUUGCUCGAUCCAUAAAUGAGUUUUUCUUAUUAGAACGAUUGUCGAAUAUAUAAUAUAGGUUACUAAUUUUAUUCUAAACUACAAUGAAAGAGAUUCAAACUCAAUCGGUAUACAUAAAAAUAAACAUUGUCUUAGCCAACUUGACUUACCAUGCACGGGUAUGAUACAAAAGAGUUCAUAAAGUAGCUGACUAUGGGGAUAGGGAUUCAGAUUCUUGAGGCUGCUUGACUAUGUGCUAGAUAUUCAUGAGUCAACAGCUUCUGAGUUCGCAAAUAAGAGCUCGACCUGUUUUCUUUUUUAUUAGACACCAGUGGGAAUUUCAAACUUUAGUUGAGCUUAGUUGCCCAGAAAGUAAUUUUACCUCACUGGUCCAAAGUUCUAUUCAGCUUACCAGUUGGUGGAGUCUAGACUUGCUUUUUGGGGCGAGUCUUGCUAGUAUUUCCUUUAACGGUUAAUUGUCUCUUUCUAUGUGCUAAUUAUGAUAAGAAAAUUAUUCGACUUUGAUUUUUUGUGCUGAAUUCUUUCCGUGCAUGCGGAUUUUAUAUAAUUAUUAGCGAUUCGACUUUGGAUUUUUAAUUGUGUUGAAUUCUUACUGUGCGGACGGAUUUUAUGUAAUUAUUAGUAUCGUACCACACCCAGUAACAAUUCGCUCUUUUGAUUGUUAUUCUUUACUUAUAAUUUUUUUAUUUUGUUUAAAAUAUUUUUUAUUUAUUUUAUUUAAAAUAUUUAAGAAAUAAAAGAAAAAAAACUGUCCAUGUAGUUAGAAGACUAUAAAUUAAAUUAUGUGGAAAUAUUUAAAGGAGGGAGAAAAAGAGGAACUUGGAAUUGGAUAGAGAAGUUUUUAUUUUUAUUUUUUAAAUUAGACGAUAUUAGGAUCAUCUUUGGAUGAGACUUUAAAAAAAUUGUCAAAUUAGUUUGUGUGUAUUUAUUUUACUGCCCGUCAUUUUAUUUUAUAGUAAAAGACUAAAUUGUAUUUUCACCAUCUUUUGAUUGACAAAUAGAGUUUUAUUAGUAUGUAGUUUAGAUUAUUUUAUUUUAACAAUUUUAAUUAGAGAGGGGUAGUAAUUUUGAAAUUAUGAUUGUUUCACCUUUUUUGCUUUCUGACUUUAUAUAUAUUGUACCAGUACAAAUUACAUGCUUCAUCCUCAUGCCUCCUUCUACCAGUUUUUCUGUAAGGCAAUCCACCAAUCUAGUUGGUAUAUUUCAAGUUUCGAAAAGUCACAUUUUCAUGUAAGGUUUCAAAAUCUCAGAGACGAUUCUGUUUAUAGUAACAAAUAGGAUUCACACAAUAAACUAUUAAUGAAAAACAUUUAAUGAACUAUUAUUGAAGUCACUGAGUAUUAUGGUCCAGUGGUAUACCUCUUCACUUGUAAGCAAGGUAUAAAAUAUCGAUGAUAUUGGAAAUAUCGGUAGUUCAAACACACGAAAAUAUCGAUGGAAAUAUCGAGAGAUAUUAUCGAUAUCGAUAAAAAUUGAAUAAAAACUACGGAAGUUGUAAGAAAAACUUGGAGGAAAUUUUUAUUGAAACUUUGGAGAAUGUUUAUUUAGUCAAUUAUCUAUUAGUUUAUAAAAAAUUAGAAGGAAAUGCAUUACAUGAUGGAUUUAACUGAUUUAAGUUGAUUAUACAGCGAGCUGGCAAACACUGUGAGUGUAGAAAAUAUGUAGUAAUUAAUGAAAAAAAGAUUAAACACACCAUAAUCAUUUAUAUAUAAUGAUUUACUACAAUAUUUUACACUUUAUACAUUGCAUGUGCAAAAGAAAUUGUCAAAGAUUCAUUGUCAUGUGCAAAUUUGUUUCUUGCAAAAAGAAUACAAAACAAAACCAUAUAUAUAAAUAUUUUAGCAUAUGUUCACAAAAACUUAAGUGAUAUGGUGGUUAAGGUGUUGAAGGAGUAAAGUGGGAGGGGUUCGAAUCCCCUUGGUGUUAUUUUAGCAUAUUUUCAUUGUCAUAUGCAAAUUUGGGUUUUAUCUCGCGAUAAUAUCGAGAUUUUAACGAUAUAUCAAUGGAUAGCACCGAUAUUAUCGAUUUUUUCGUCCUUGCUUGUAAGUGAGAGGUCUUAUGUUUGAUUCUCAGCAAAGGCGAAUUUGAACCACGUUAUUGCUAGCUCAUUAUCGAUUUUUUCAUUAAAAUCAUUGAAAAUAUCGUACCUCAAUAUUAUCGCAAUAAUAUCGAGAUUUUAACGAUAUAUCAAUGGAUAGCGCCGAUAUUAUCGAUUUUUUCGUCCUUGUUUGUAAGUGAGAGAUCUUAUGUUUGAUUCUCAGCAAAGGCGAAUUUGAACCACGUUAUUGCUAGCUCAUUGUGAGGCUAAGCCCACCUUCUCUCCCUUAGUGUAGAUAAUAUUUUUUUGUUUUAAAAAACCAAUCAUUGAUAAUAAGAACCAAAAAAAGGAAAAGAAGUAGUGGUAUUUUUGUAAAUAUGCAAAUUUGGGUUUUAUCUCGCGAUAAUAUCAUAAUAUCGCGAUAUAUUUCUCAAAUAAUGUAUUAAAAUCAUUGAAAAUAUUGUAUCUCGAUAAUAUUGAUAUUUUAACGAUAUAUUAAUGGAUAGCGCCGAUAUUAUCGAUUUUUUCAUUAAAAUCAUUGAAAAUAUCGUAUCUCGAUAUUAUCGAGAUUUUAACGAUAUAUCAAUGGAUAGCACCGAUAUUAUCGAUUUUUUCGCCCUUGCUUGUAAGUGAGAGGUCUUAUGUUUGAUUCUCAGCAAGGCGAAUUUGAACCACGUUAUUGCUAGCUCAUUAUCGAUUUUUUCAUUAAAAUCAUUGAAAAUAUCGUAUCUCGAUAUUAUCGCAAUAAUAUCGAGAUUUUAACGAUAUAUCAAUGGAUAGCGCCGAUAUUAUCGAUUUUUUCGUCCUUGCUUGUAAGUGAGAGAUCUUAUGUUUGAUUCUCAGCAAAGGCGAAUUUGAACCACGUUAUUGCUAGCUCAUUGUGAGGCUAAGCCCACCUUCUCUCCCUUAGUGUAGAUAAUAUUUUUUGUUUUAAAAAACCAAUCAUUGAUAAUAAGAACCAAAAAAAGGAAAAGAAGUAGUGGUAUUUUUGUAAAUAUGUUGAACUUUGAAUGCAAUGACAUUUUUGUUAAUAAAUUGAAGUUCGCUAGCAAUAACGUAAAUAAGUUGAAGUGUAUUUUCAUCAGUAGCAAAGGUUUGUAGUGUCUUUUUAUUUGUUUUCUAAUAGGUUAAGGGGUAGUGAUAUCCACAUAUCCAUUUCACCUCUCACAAUUUUGUUAAUUUUUGUUAAUUCGAUAUGACAGCCAAAAAUUAAUAAGUUGUGUGAGAGGUAAAAGUAGGUGUAGGGAUAUCACCACAAAUAGCACUAUCUUAUGUUAAAUCAUAAACAAUUUGAUGACAUAUUUUCUGGGAUAUGGGUUUUUUUUUCCAAAAAAUUUUUUUUCCAAAAAAAAUAAUCAACUAAAUUCAUAGCAUUCACCAACGAGAGAGGCCAAGGAGACUGUCUCAAAGUGAGAUUUUCUAUGAACUUUCUAUCACCUCACAGUUUAAUGUUAAUUCAUAUGCUAAUAUUAUAAAGUAUUGUGGCAAAAAUAAGGUGACAAAGAGUACAUAAAAAAUAUUACUUUUGAAAGAGUCUCUUUAAACCCACCACAAGUAAAUGGUAGCCUCAAAUGUUACAUAUCUGAAUCAACCACCUAGACCCGCCACAAGUAAAUGGUUGUCUCAAAUGUUACCUAUCCGAAUCGACCGCUUAGACCCACCACAAGAAAAUGGUUGCCUCAAAUGGGAUAGUCAAAGUGUGUGAAUCGAAAUUAAAUUAUUUGGCUCUUGAAAAAUUCAUAGUGAAAGAAAACAUAAAUGGUCAAGAACAAUGAUUUAUCAGUAAAAGUCUAGGACACUUAUAGUGUGAACCGAAAUUAAAAUAAUUUAGUGCUUGAAAAAAUCAGUGUUUGGAAAAUACACGGUCAAGAACAAUACUUUGAUCAGUAAGGAUCUAGGAAACUAAUUUAGUUUGUUAAUCAACAGAGUUGUUUAAUUCACACCACACCCCACAUCAACCUCGCAUAUUCUUGCAUAUUCUUGCAUAUUUUUUAUUCCUCCAACACCCAAAUAGGAACCAAUUCUCCAACACCCAGAAUAUCUUGACCUAAUGCGGACUAUUUGUGCACCACGCCAUGGUGACCGAGAUCAAAGCACGCUAUCAGAAGAUGAAUGGGACGCAGCUUAUUUGUAUGUCGCAUUUGUCUUGAGGAAGCGAGGGGAACCUAAUCAGACACAUGUAAAUGGUAGACGACACAAGGGGAAGAUGCAUAUAUCGAAAGAGGACAUCGUGUACGUUAGCAGUGGUUAACAACGCACCAAUGAUGUCUCAAAGGUUCAUGUUUGUAGCAAAAGAGAACAAUGAUUUUUGCUCGGCCAAGUAGGAAAGCAAAUUAAAGAGCUCAACUCCCACAUUGUUCUACUGUGUAAUUCUUGAAAUGGAUGUAAUUAUUCAAUUUAAUUUGUGGAUUUACAGUGAUCUAAAAUUAUUCGUUCUUUACAUAUUAUAAUCUAAAAAAAAAGAUUAAUUUUAUGACUAGCAUGAUCCACCAUUAACAUUAUUGAUAUUUUUUUAAUUAAUUAAACACCUCAUGAAGAGAGAUUUUUCAGUGUGCCGCGGCGUGAUACUCCUAGUGUAAUAAUAUAAUUGGUUAGAAAAUAGAUUUUUUUUCUUUCAACUAACUGCAUUAUGACACCUAGGUAUACCGGGCCACUAUUCUGAUACACUGAAAAUUUUCUAAGGAAAACUAAUAAAAAGGGUUUGAAAAUUUUGAGUUUUAACGAUAAGGACAAAAUAAAGAGCAAAGUGAAUAGUACCAUGAUUGACUUUUUAGUAUAAAAAUGUGAUUUUUUGUUACCGGAAACUUUUCGUUAAAGUUUUCUAAUUUCUACUUAAUGACAUAAUAAGUAAAUCUACCACGUAUAAACCGUAUAUUAUUUUGUUAUCUCUCCAACGUGUUACUCUAUUUUCCAAUAAGUAGUGCCAACUACUUCCAUCAAACAAGAGAAAUACAUAUCCCGGAGAUGCUUCACUCAUAUUAACACAAGGUUUGUAAACUCAACUUUAUCAACAGAAAUCCUAAUCAUGCAUAUUGGGGCGAUUGAAACGUUAAUAUAUUAGAGUUUUUCUCCUCAAACAGUUGUGCUGAUGCAUGCAUGAUCAGCAGCAGUAAUAUAGUACUGCCUCCGUAUGGUUCUGGUACCGCAGGAUAAACGACGUCGAUGGCAUAUUCUUACAUAUUUUUUUAGAGGUGUGAUAUCCACACACUUUUUUUUUCUCAUAUUUUUUUAAUUUUGGGCCGUCGAAUAAGAUGAAUUGAAGAAUAUCAAAUGACAGAAAUUAAUAAGAAAUAUGAGAGAAGUAAAAAUAAGUGUGUGAAUGGCACACCCCAUUCUUUAUUCCUCCAACUCUCAGAUACGAACCCAAUCUCCUCUUCUUUCACUGUAUACAGUUUUGAUGAGUGAGGAAGUCAUUGUCAAACCUUUUUUCCGAUACGUUUGCUGCAGUUUUUUUUUAAUAAAAAAAUAGAUUAUGUUAGAUUAGCCGUCGAAUAUGAUUCAUACUCAUAAUGAUACAUUUUCUCUACUACUGUAAAGAGCCACUUACAUACAUUUGCUGUUCUCCGUAAUGUUUCCAUCACCUUCCAUUAAGGACCUUUUGUGUAAAUAAUUGUAUGUCCGUUAAAUUUUCAAUUGCAUUCUUCAAAUAGGAUAAUAUAUUUAACAAUCACUAUUGCUUCAAAUCAUGAUUGUCUUUUACCUGCUAGUAUGUUUUUUUUUUAACAAAUGAUAUUAUCUACAUUAAGGGGAUGAAAGAAUGAGCUAAGUUUAACAAUAGACUAGCAAUAAUGUGGUUUAAAUUUGCUUUUGCUAAGAAUCGAACAUGCUAGUUCUAGUUAGCUUCAAAAUAAUUAAUUUAGGGGUGUAUUCAAAUUUUUAUUUUCUUUUAAAAAAUCUUUAUGGGGCCUAAAUAAUCAUUUCAUAUCAAGUGAUAAGUCAUUUAAUAAUUAAUUUUUAUGUGAGAUGUAUUUAGCAGUACGUAGGGUGCUAACAAAAAAACCUACUCAAAAUUAAAAUUUUGGUGCUUGAAAAAUUCAAAGUUUAGAAAAACAUGAAAGGGCAAUAACUGAGCUUGUUUGAAUGAGUUUUGAAGGCGUUUUUGGUGAAAAUAUUUUUAGAAUUAAUCUUUCGUAAAAAUGUAAGCAAAUCAUAGAAAAACACUUAAAAUGUUUCUUCCAAGAAGCACGUAAUUGAUGCUUCUUGAACAAAGCACUUCAAGUGCUUUUCAUACCGAAAAAUAUUUUCUCUAAAAGCACUUUCAGUAAUUUUAGAAGCACAUGCAAACAAGCCCAAUGCUUGGCUACUCAAGAAUGAGUGGGAAUUCUUACUCAAAAUUCUUCAUGUCCGAUAAUAUAAAAUUUCAUGUUUAUAAUAAGAACUAUUCAUAAUGUGAAUUGCUCUAUAAUAUCAUCUUUGUAGAAAAUGAACAAUUCUGAAUAUAAGCACGAAAUGAUCGUUAUCAUAAACAUGGAGUGGUACGAAUCAGAAACGAAGAAUUUUGAGUAAGAGCUUGUACUUAUCCUUUGAUUAGCUAAGUAUUAUUCGUGACAAAUUAUAACUCGCAAAGCAAGAGAGAGAAAAGUUUCUUGAACAUAGCCAUGUAUAUUUCUUGAACCAAACAAAGAAAUGUGUAUAACUUAUGGUGGGAUUGCAUUAGACCUUAAGACCCUCUUAUAGAACUAUAGUAAUAUGUUUAGCUAUGAGAUCAUCUCCAAAUUGCAACGUGGAUAUUGUAAGGGGGCGUUUGUUUGCCCUUACUAACAUUCAUUGGCUUGGACUGGCUUAAAUAUUAGUGAAACCUGUGUUUGUUACCUUGCAGGUUUAAGUUUAAUGAGACUAGGGAGGACUAGCCUCACCUAAAGACCUCACAAACUGGUCUUAGCGAAAGCCCCGGAUAAGGAUGAGACUAGCUAUGACCACUUCGUCCUGCUCAUCUUUUCCUCAUUGCUCACUUCCUCUCCCUGCUUUAUGAUGUUGUCAUCUUUCUCUUAUCGCCCCAAACUCAGAAUCAUGAAGAGGCCCAGAUUCGAACUUCAAUCGAAGAACCACGAGCACCAUCGUCCGAUUCAUCGAUCAAAUCAAGCUUAUUGAUGUCACCCUCCAUUUAAAUUUCAACACCUCAUGCUACUUUUAGAUUGAGUAAUGUACUUUAUGUUCCACUAAUGAAAUUCAAUUUACUCUCUGCCUACCAAUUCUUGAAAGAUAACUAUUGUUCCUUGACCCUUGAUUCUGAUGGUUCUGAAAUCAAUGAUCGUUUUUCGGGGAUGACGCUUCUUUUAGGGUCAGUUAAAGAUGGGUUUUAUCCCUUUCAAGGUCUCUCCACUGUCACUCAUUCACAUUCUACUCUUAUUAGUACUAAGCAUCAUUGCAGACUUGGCAUAAGAGACUUGGCCAUCCUUUCUCUGCUAUGUUUAGAAAAGUUUUCAAUAAGCAUAAUCUUGUUCACAAUAGUGACAAAUGUGUAUCUUUCUUUUGCACAGAUUGUGCUAUAGGCAAAAAUCAAUAAAUUGUCAUUUUCCUCUAGUACUAAUUGUGUCUCUACUAGUUUAGAGUUAAUUCAUUGUGAUGUUUGGGUUCUAUCUCCAGUCACUUCUGUAAAUGGUUACAAGUUUUAUCUGUUGCUUGUGCAUGAAUUUACCAAAUACACUUAGUUGUUUCCACUGAAAGCUAAGCUUGAGGUCUUCUCUAUAUUGGUAAUCUUCAAAGCUUAUGUAGAAAACAUGGUUGGAAAUAAAAUAAAGAUUUUGAGAUCAGAUUCAGGAGGUAAGUUCACCAGUUUUGCAUUCAAUUAUUUUCUGUCAAGCAAUGGUAUUUCUCAUCAAUAUAGUUGUCUUCACACUCCAGAACAAAAUAGAUGUGUUGAGAAGAAGCAUAUACAUCUUACACAGACUACAAAGACUCUUUUGGUUUCUUCUCUAGUUCCACAAAAAUUCUGGGUUGAAGCAUUUUCUACUGCUCUUUAUCUUAUCAACAGAUUGCCAAUAUCUAGAUUGGACAAAUCUCCAUAGGAAUUACUUUUUAGGAAUUCUCCAGAUUAUUUAAAAUUGAAAGUGUUUGGGUGCAGCUACUAUCUUUGGCUUAAACCAUAUGUUUCUCCAAAAUUGGAAGGGAAAAGCAAGCAUCGUGUCUUUCUUGGUUAUUGCCUUCAGCACAAAGGCUACAAAUGUUUAGAUCUUCAAUCUCAAAGAAUCUACAUUUCUAAACAUGUUCUGUUCAAUGAAGCUAAUUUCCCAUUUUACGAUGCUUAGACGCUUAACUCAUCAUCAAUGCCACACAAUACAUUGCCUAAAUCAUCUCCAGCAUUUAAUCUUCCAUUUCUAAUAUCUCAGAUCACCACAAUAUUACCUGAGAUUUCUCCAACAAUGUCUUCACAACAAGUAGUAUUUCCACCAACAGUACAAUCUGAGCAAUCAUCAUCUCAGUCAUCAACAACAUCUCAGCAAUCAUCUUCUUAGCAACUUAGUCACUCAUUACCUUCACAAUCAAGCAACUCCUCUUAAACUCAGAAACUCAUUACUACCAACUCUCAUCCCAUGAUUACAAGGUCAAAAGUAGGCAUUUUUAAACCAAAAGCUCUCUUUGCAACCAAACAUCCCAUUGACAUUGACAAUUUUGUGCCUACCCUUAUCUGCAAGCAUCCAAGUAUGAUCAUUGGAACCAAGCAAUGUUAUAGGAAUUUUAGGCUCUCAAAAACACAAGUACUUGAACCUUCAUACCAUCCUCUCCACAUCAAUACAUAGUAGGUUGCAAAUGGGUGUUUAAGAUUAAGAGAAGGCCAAAUGGUACAAUUGACAGGUACAAUACCAGACUUGUGGCCAAAGGGUUUUACUAGCAAGAAGGUACUGAUUUCCAAGAGACUUUUAGUCCUGCUGUAAAACCAGUGACCAUUCGAAUUCUAUUAACUCUUGCUAUUCAAAAUGAUUGGUUCCUUAAUCGGUUGGUUAUUAGCAAUGCGUUUCUUCUUGUACAUUAAAAGAAAAUGUGUUUAUGCAACAGCCUUCUGGAUUUAUUAAUGUUUCUCAACCUUCAUUUAUUUGCAAGCUAAAUAAGCCUCUAAUAUGGCUUGAAACAAGCCUAUUGGGUUUGGUAUGAAAAACUUGGUCAUACAUUACUUUUUCUUGGAUUUACCAAUUCCCAAUCAGCUUGUUCAUUGUUUGUGCAGACUUAUCCUUCUCUUGUGAUAGUAUUGGUCUAUGUUGAUGAAAUCCUAGUCACUGGCCCCAAAUGCAUCUCAUUGUCAACCUUUUAUUCAAAAGCUCAGUUCUUUGUUUCCUGUCAAAGACCUAGAGCCCUUGCAAUAUUUUCUUGGCUUGGAGGUUCACAGAUCCCCUUAAGGUAUUUUUCUAUCAUGGGUAAUAUGCCUUAGAGAUUUUGGUAAAGAUAAAAAUGGAAGGCUAUAAACCUUGUGCCACUCCUCUUGGUACUGAUAAUUUGGAUCACAUUAGAGUUUUGUUGUCAAAUCCAAAGGAAUACAUGUUCAUAGUUUGAGCUCUCUAAUACUUAACAUGGACAAGGCCAUAUAUCUAUUUUGCAGCGAACCAAGUCUGUCAAUAUCUUCACUGUUCAAGGGACAUUCGAUUUCAAGCAGUUAAACGAAUUCUAAGGUUUCUCAAAGGUUCAAUUGAUCAGGUAUUGUGGUUUAGAAAAUGUUCCAUGAAUCGUACAACCUUCUCAGAUGUUGAUUGGGCUGUUAUGUAUUUGAUAGAAGAAUAACAUCUGGCUAUUGUGUUUACUUAGGCAUCAACCUUAUCAGUUGGAGUGCCAAAAAGCAGCCCACUCUUGCCAGAUCUUCAACAUAAGUUGAGUACAAAUCUCUAGCUCUUAAUGCUGCAAAAAUAACAUGGAUUUGUAAGAUUUUCAAGGAUUUUUUUUUAUUUAGAAAACCUCGACGGUACAAGGAUAAUUUUAUUGAUAUAAAAAAAGGAUACACCUAGUCAAGAGGACAUAAACCUAACCCUUCAUAAUACAAGGAAAAAAAUGAUAAAAAAAAAUACAUGAAAAGAAUGGGGGACAUAGACCUUACCCUUCUAGAAACAAAAUCAACAAAGAUUUUCAAGGAUAUUACUUUCCCUCUCACUCAUGCUCCUACAUUGUGGUGUAAGGAUGGAAAUUCUAACCAUUAAACCUGAUAACCGUGGAUAACCACUCAAAUAGAUUGGAUUUGGGUAUGAAAAUUCGGGUAUAUUUUGGGUAUGGGGAAAAACCGUGAUUAUUAUUCGGUUAUGGUUUUGGAUAUGGUUAUAGGGGUCCCCAAUCCGUAUACAUCCCCCCAUCCGGACCGAAUAAUAUAUAUUAUAUAUAAUAUUAAAGUAUUAUAUAUAUAAAUAUAUAUAUAUAUAUAUAAAGUUUUAAUAUGGAUCAAAAUCUAUGAGAAUUCAAUGGUACUUAUGGGAGAUAUCAAAUAUCAAACCAACAUUAUCAACGUUUAGCUUUAAUUUUUAUGUUUCACAAGAUCCAUUCAUUAAAUCAUUUUAUACAUCAAAUAUUUAAUGACAAAAAUAAUAUUUACUAAACUAUCAUGUGUCAAUUGAAUGAAUAUAUUUUUUUUAUUGACGAAGAUGGAUAUAACCGUUAACCGAUGGGGAAUCCGUUACCCGGUGAAUAUGGUUAUGGAUAAUACUCGAUGGUUAAUUUGCGGUUAUGAAUAUGGUUAGUUUUCGUGGUUAUGGGGAUGGAUAUAGCAUUUCCAUCCCCAAACCGAACCGUCGCCAUCCCUAUUGUGGUAUGACAAUGAUUCUGCCAUUUCUUUGGCUUCAAAUCCUGUGUUUCAUGCGCGUACAAAACAUGUGGAAAUCGAUUACCAUUAUAUUAGGGAGCUAGUUCUUGCAAAUUUGGUAAAACUUCUGUAUGUCAACAUCGAGCACCAAAUUGCAGACAUUCAUACCAAAUCUCUAUCAAAGACAUUCAUAUAACGAUAUUUCGCGAGUAUUCCUUUAAUUAUCGUUAUAAUAUCGCGAAAAUAUCGAUAUUAUCGCGAUAUUAUAAAUAAUAUCGCGAAAACCUAAAAAUAUUUGAAAAUUUCUGAAAAGUCUCAAACAUGCACAUAAAGGGAUUCGAACUCCUCCCAUCUAACUCCUUCAGCGGCUUGACCACUAUACCACUUACGUUUUUGUGAAAACAUGCUAAACUAUUUAUAUAUAUGGUUUUAUUUUGAAUUCUUUUUGCAAGAAACAAAUUUGCACAUAUUCCAAAUUUUUUGUGGUAUUAUAUUUUAAAUUGUGUCAAUUAAUUACUUAGUCAAUGGCAUGUGGUUUUUAAUUUUUCUAUUUUUUAUUUGGUCACUUACAUGUAUGGUUGGAAAAAAUUCCCAAAAAUCCCAAACCAAACCGAAAAAGUCCCAAACCAAAACCAUCCCGAAAAAUACCGAAAUUUUCGAUAUGGGAUUGGUUUCCAAAUCCCAUUUGUUUGGUAAUCCCGAAAUCCCGAAAAAUACCGAAGUAUUCGGUUUCCUAUUGACUUUUGGGUUUCGGUUCUUGAAAGCCAUUGUCAUGGUUGCUGACUACUCUUCACAAUACACUUACUCUACACAUAGAGAUGAUGAAGAUAGUGAAAAUUUUGAACCUCAUAGGAACUCUAUGUGGUACUUAGUCACUCAUGUAUCUUACCAUGCAAUGUAUAAAGUGUAAAAUAUUGUACUAAUUCAUUAUAUAUAAAUGAUUAUGGUGUGUUUAAACUUCUUUCAUUAAUUACUACAUAUUUUCUACACUCACAAUGUUUGACAGCUCGCUAUAUAAUCAACUUAAAUCAGUUAAAUCCAUCAUGCAAUGCAUUUCAUUCCAAUUUUUUGUGAUAAACUAAUAGAUAAUUGACUAAAUAAACAUCCUGCAAAGUUUCAAUAAAAAUUUCCAAGUUUUUCUUACAAUUUCCGUGGUUUCCAUGUAAUUUUUAUCGAUAUCGAUAUUAUCCCGAUAUUUCCAUCGAUAUUUCCGUGUUUUCGGACUACCGAUAUUUCCGAUAUUACCGAUAUUUUCUUCCUUGCAAGUAUCUUUAGUCCAAGCUUUCUCUGAGUUCCCCCUUCAAUUAGCUUGAGGGGGUGUAAAAGGAUAACUCAUAGCUAACAAUGUGUACAACUGUAUUUUAGUUGUAACUGUUUUGUACCUAAUCUUUAUUUGUUAUAGAUUUAAUUAAGUGCAAUUAGUCACUAAGCUUUAUUAGGAAAAUGUAUAUAUACUAAGGUGUAUUUCUUAAACAUUAAGAAAGAAAAUAAUACAAGGCUUCUUUCUUUACAGGAAUGCUAACCAACUUGUGUUGUUGAAUUAGUGAGCGGGAGUGCAUCAAUUCAAAUUCCUCAUUUUGAGAUUGCUGGCUUGGAGAGUCAUUUGACAUGGAUUGCUGACAUGGAGAACCAUCUUGAUUAUUAGGUUUAUCAAAGAUUACAAAGACCUAUAAAUAGGAAGGCAGUGACGCAGAUGGAAUAAGCAGCAAAGCUGAACCAGAAAGGAAAUGGUAUGAACCAGAAAGGAAAUGGUAUGGUGAUAGAUAUAAAGAAGGCAGUGACUCCAAAGAAGAGACCGAAACAAUGGAAAAGGCAGGGGAUCCAUAUUCCGGUGGGACAGUAGCUGAAGUGAACAAACUUGCUUACCAAGGUACAAGUAAAGGCAAGCAAGAGUGUGAGUCCAAGACAAUAAAAAGUUUUAGGGAGUUUGGAGUCAUAAGUUAGGCGGGAAGGAAUGCUGGUCCAGUUACAACUGUGAAGAAAACACCACAAUUAUUUUUGACCAAUUUAAAGUUGUUGUUGCCACGCUGACGGUCUAAUAAUAUUUCUCUCUAUUUAUAAGUGAAAUGUCUUGGACCCGACUUGUAUGAAUACAAAUUUGAUACUAAAUUAGGCCUCAUGUCUCCCUCAAAUAAUUCAUUAAUAGUGUUCUAGAAAUGCAUUUGUAAAAAUGAAAUAUAAAGUUUCUAUGUACUUUAAAGCUUCGAGUUCGAACAUAUAAUUUUUCUACAUGGAGAAGGAAGAAGGAGAGACUCGGUAGUCGAUAGAGUGAGAUAUGAUGAAUUGAUGUGGAUGAAUAACUUAUACAAUGAACGGGUUUUGGGGCAUUUGUUGUAAAAUAUAAACUUAGAAUAAUGCUAUUUGUAUCACAUUUUUUUGACAAUCUUAUUGACCACUUUUAAUUAAUAAAUUGGUCCCAAGUUUAGUUUCCUAAGGAUUUGUUUGUUUGGGCUCAUCUUUGUCAUAGCAACUUAGGUUGGGCUUGGAUUUUUAUUGGGUUUACUUAGCCAUGCGAGCUCAUAGUGAGCUCCGAGUGGAUUGUAAUUUCCUGAGGUAUUCUCUUCAUGUUCCAAGAAUUCAAAUUUGAAUUCAGGGGUUUUGCAUCACCUUUUGGUAAUGGAAAUAGAAUACCCUAUUACUUGGAAAGUCGCUCUACCAUGGUACUAGAUGAUUUUCCAAGCGAAAAGCGUGCAUAUGAUCAACUAAAGUAAAACUAUACAUGCAUGCCGUCAAUAAGAUCGAAAUAAAAUUCCAAUUUUAGAGCUAGGCUCUUGAAACGGAUAAAAAAUGUAAUGCAGAGGACUAUGUCUGAUUCAAAAAUGAUUAGUUGAAAAAGAUCGUUUUUAUAUGUUCAGUUUGAAGAGAGUCUAAAACUAACAGAGUUUCGUGUAAGUGUUUCUUUUGGUCGUGUACUAGUCGUUGCCCACUAACUAACGAGAAGAUGAGACGUACCAAAUUAAUUUACUGGAUUAGAUGAAACAUAGCAGUAGUGAGGCUGCAGACAACUAUACUCCAAAUAUAACUAGAAACAGUUUGACAUUGAAACCUACCACAAAUAUGAGAUCCCCAUUCUGAGGAAUAAAUAGUUGUAUAUACAGUACUGCAGGCCACUAGUCAGGAUAUGUAUAAACAUCAUGGUUACAUGAGAGUUCUUUCGCGUCACACAAUAUUAUUCAUGCAUGCUUGAUCAUCAAUGGUACUAGUACCGCUUCGGCAUGAUUCUACCACAGGAUCAAUGGUGUUUUUAGAAGCUGAAUUCUUUGGGGUACCAUGAGGCUUGUAAUAUUUAUUGAAGUGAAAAUUACAUAGAACAAUAAGUAGGAAGGCGGCGACAUAGAUAGAAUAGACAACACAUUUGAACCACAAGGGAAAUGGGAUGGUGAUGGAUAUGAAGAAGGCUGUGACUCCAAAUAAGAGGCCAAAAUUAUGGAAAAGUAGGGGGAUUGAUAUUCCGGCGGGACAGUAGUUAAAAUGAACAAACUUGCUUACCAAGAUACAAGUGAAGGCAAGCAAGACUGAUACUCCAAGAAAGUAAAAGAUUACAGGGAGGUGGCCAGAGUGAAUUUGAACGGGAAGAAGCGCUAGCCCAAUCACUGUUGUCAAGCAAAACAUGAUGAUCAUGUUUGACCAAUCUAAGUUGUUGUUGUAGUACUUACAAUUAGUCUUGUC